Molecule: ribosomal RNA, 253 nt
Filed under: uncultured bacterium
Lineage: Bacteria
Description: partial 16S ribosomal RNA
Rfam family: Bacterial small subunit ribosomal RNA
Source: RNAcentral
GACGAGGGGUCCAAGCGUUGUUCGGAAUCAUUGGGCGUAAAGAGUGCGUAGGUGGUGCCCUAAGUCUGUUGUGAAAUCUCCCGGCUUAACUGGGAGGGUGCGGUGGAAACUGGGGUGCUUGAGUGUGGGAGAGGUAAGCGGAAUUCCUGGUGUAGCGGUGAAAUGCGUAGAUAUCAGGAGGAACACCGGUGGUGUAGACGGCUUACUGGACCACGACUGACACUGAGGCACGAAAGCGUGGGUAGCAAACAGG